Molecule: non-coding RNA, 75 nt
Filed under: Clostridium butyricum
Lineage: Bacteria; Bacillati; Bacillota; Clostridia; Eubacteriales; Clostridiaceae
Description: Cyclic di-GMP-I riboswitch
Rfam family: c-di-GMP-I riboswitch aptamer
About the family: GEMM was predicted in a large-scale screen for bacterial structured RNA regulatory elements. Genes associated with GEMM are involved in a diverse array of functions, including chemotaxis regulation, signal transduction, secretion and chitin.
Source: RNAcentral
GCAAAGUUAGAGAAAUCUAGCGACGCAAAGCUAUAGGGACUAAGGUUGUGAAAACUAUGUCAGCCAGUUGCCGAA